ACAAAUCGGUUAUAGGACGCGAGUCCUAUAUACACCCCAAAGGCCUAACACAGCAGGAGAUCACAGUUGUGGUGGAAUGCUGGGGGGGCCUUUUGGUUGCAGUCCGCGAGGGCUGUAGGCACGGGUCUGCUUUGCGGCGGCCUAGCCACAUAGACGCUUGUAUGUUUGACAGAGUAUAGUUGGAUUUAAAAAAUA
RNAcentral lists this unclassified non-coding RNA (195 nucleotides) under uncultured Rozellomycota. RNAcentral's name for it is "uncultured Cryptomycota sequence contains ITS1". Lineage: Eukaryota; Fungi; Rozellomycota. The record is from RNAcentral.